Lates calcarifer (barramundi perch) is the source of this 2186-nucleotide long non-coding RNA. RefSeq lists it as uncharacterized. NCBI's taxonomy places the organism in Eukaryota, Metazoa, Chordata, Actinopteri, Centropomidae. The record is from RefSeq and is a predicted model, not a curated record. The transcript has 5 exons.
AGAGCGCGAGCUGCAUGAGACGCCUGCAUGACAUGAGGAGACUGCAUCAUCUCGGCCAGGACAGAUACCCAGCCUGAAGGUGUUAUACAGGGAGUCUCUGCGGAGCUGAUAAACCCUCUGGAGGAGCUGUAGGCCCCCGUUGGAAACUAUGUGGUCACAGUGGCUCUGGACCUGCAGACAAGAGAAACGUGUUUCAAGACCACAGGCGACAGUUUUGCCAUUAGCUGCACCAGCAGUCCUGGGUCUGAAACGGGUGUUGAAGGCAAAACCACAGCUACAAUUGAUGGUGGCAAUGCUCAUUGUUUUAAUCCACUCCAAGCCAGAUCUACAAGGUCAUCAGUACAGUCAGAGGGAAGGAUGCAAGUGGUCUUAUUGCAAAGGCUCUUCUCUCCUCUGCUGAAUGUGUUUGGUCCUGAAGGGGCUCUGGACGAUAGAGGUCACCCCGAGCCGAGCCUGCGUAAAAAUGUAGGAAUCAGCAGUCCUUCCCUGCUGCAGAGGAGCCGGCCAAUCCAACUAAAUCCCGCAAUCUUUCAUCGCUCUGGCAAGUCAAACAACUUAACCACAGAAUGGUUUGAUUCAUAUGUACAUUUAUGAGGAUGAAAUGCUGAUUUUAAACUACCAAGGUAAUUGCCUUUGCCCUUGGCUUUGACAGUUGUGAUUAGGCAAGCCUGUUUGAUUUUAUUUGGAUGGUAUAUAUUUAUUUUUGUUGUCAUUAUGGCAUAAAUUAUUGGCCAUAACCUGUCAUUUUUUUCAACAAUAUGAAGACACUUGGGUAUAAAAGUUAUUUUGUGGAGGGCUUUGCCAGUAACACCCUAUUAUCACAGUAGUUAGUUUGCUUUUGGGUAUGAGAGGUUUUCAUGUUCAACAAUUCCUAAAAUCUCAAUCAUUACCCCUCCUCCACCCAAUUUUGGCUAGCUGAGGGUUUUUUCCCCUAGUAAACAACAUGUUUACUCAGUCACUGCUGACAAACAGCACAGAGCAGAGCUUCAGUAGGGUGCAUAGACAAUACAAAAAACUAGAAAUCUGAAUUGAAUAGAAAUAGAUUUUAGAGAGUUGUUCCUGUUGUCCCACAGAUCCAGAUCCAUAAAAUUACCCUCAUUCACCUGCUCCAGCUGCCACCAUCUUACUAACAUGAAGCCAAUCCAUAAAUUAAACUUAGAUGCAGAUGGCACAAAAAUGUACUCACAACUGACUGAAUUCAAUGUGAGUUACAUCUUUGCAUUCAGUGUUGUACACAGAAUUGAGCUGAGGAUCUGCAAUCAAUGAUAAUUUAUCAACUUUCAAUUUUACAUGCCCACCCCUCUGUCUCUUCUCUUUAUUGAAUGACAGUGUGUCCAGAGCAGCAUAGCUCCCCUCUCAGCUCCUCUAAGAGCUCUCCUGAGAUGAUGAUGAAAGGACUUGUCUAAUGGGAUUACACCUCGCGAUAAGUGCUCAGAGCCGAGUGGUUCAUCACACCUCCCUCCUGCAUUUUAAAGAGUGGCAUUGAUCUGCUGUGGUGUAGCUGUAUCUUGGAUGUAGAGUUUUAGACAUAUGUUUUAUUGGCGUGGCGCGUUUUGAUUAUUGAUUGUCUGUAUGAUUACUCUUUUGUUUCUAGCUGCAAAAUUUGAAUGUAUUGCGAGAAAUCAUUUUUAAGGAGAAAUCCACCAGGUUUAAAAUCCCAAUUUGUCAUUUCUAAGAUAUAAUACAAGACUUGAUUUGUGAAAUGAAGCAAAUCCCCCUUUAACCUGAGCAGCAGAGAUGCAGACUAUAGUGAUGAUGUCAUGAGAUAAAUCCUGGAGGUGCUCAAAAGGCAGUGAAUAAUAGAGCAACACACAGGACUCUGUAACAACAGCCAUGGUGACUACACUCAGAUAAAACUCUUUUUUACUUCAUAUUGUAAUACUUGAUUGUCAUUAGUUCUGUACAUUAAUUGUGUCAUUACAGGAUUCAUAAACAUCAAAUUCUAAUAAAAAGGAAACUGUAAUAACAAAACACAAAAAAGUGUAAGAAAGAAACAUGUCUUUAAAAUAUAUAAUAAGCCCAGUGAGUAUCCAACAAGGAAAAUAUAUGCAUACAUAUACAUACUUAUGCACACAUAUAGACUGGUAUUAAAAUAUGUUGUACAAUAUUUAUUUUAAUUACUAUUAUUACUACUACUAUUACUAUUACUAUUAUUCUAUGAAUAGCCGCCUGGCUGCAGUAAUACA